AGUUUGAGAGACACACACACACACACAGCAGUUUGAGAGACACACACACACACACACAGCAGGUUGAGAGACACACACACACACACACAGCAGGUUGAGAGACACACACACACACACACAGCAGGUUGAGAGACACACACACACACACACAGCAGGUUGAGAGACACACACACACACACACAGCAGGUUGAGAGACACACACAGCAGGUUGAGAGACACACACAGCAGGUUGAGAGACACACACACACACACACACACAGCAGGUUGACACACACACACACACACACACACACAGCAGGUUGACACAGACACACACACAGCAGGUUGACACACACACACACACACAGCAGGUUGACACACACACACACACAGCAGGUUGACACACACGCACACAGCAGGUUGACACACACGCACACAGCAGGUUGACACACACGCACACAGCAGUUUGAGAGACGCACACGCACACAGCAGUUUGAGAGACGCACACGCACACAGCAGGUUGAGAGACGCACACGCACACAGCAGAUUGACAGACGCACACGCACAC
Molecule: long non-coding RNA, 547 nt
Filed under: Salmo salar (Atlantic salmon)
Lineage: Eukaryota; Metazoa; Chordata; Actinopteri; Salmoniformes; Salmonidae
Description: lncRNA (ENSSSAG00000090035.1)
Source: RNAcentral